Molecule: ribosomal RNA, 119 nt
Filed under: Eutrema salsugineum
Lineage: Eukaryota; Viridiplantae; Streptophyta; Magnoliopsida; Brassicales; Brassicaceae
Source: RNAcentral
GGGUGCAAUCAUACCAGCACUAAUGCACCGGAUCCCAUCAGAACUCUGCAGUUAAGCGUGCUUGGGCGAGAGUAAUACUAGGAUGGGUGGCCUCCUUGGAAGUCCUCGUCUUGCACCCC